RNAcentral lists this ribosomal RNA (254 nucleotides) under uncultured bacterium. RNAcentral's name for it is "partial 16S ribosomal RNA". It matches the Rfam family "Bacterial small subunit ribosomal RNA", at positions 524 to 776 of the family's 1533-position model. The record is from RNAcentral.
UACGGGGGGAGCAAGCGUUGUUCGGAUUUACUGGGCGUAAAGGGCGCGUAGGCGGCCACCGCAAGUCAGUUGUGAAAUCUCUGGGCUUAACCCAGAAAGGUCAACUGAUACUGCGGGGCUAGAGUGCAGAAGGGGCAACUGGAAUUCUCGGUGUAGCGGUGAAAUGCGUAUAUAUCGAGAGGAACACCUGCGGCGAAGGCGGGUUGCUGGGCUGACACUGACGCUGAUGCGCGAAAGCUAGGGGAGCGAACGGG